RNAcentral lists this ribosomal RNA (435 nucleotides) under uncultured bacterium. RNAcentral describes it as "bacterial SSU rRNA". It matches the Rfam family "Bacterial small subunit ribosomal RNA", at positions 9 to 426 of the family's 1533-position model. The record is from RNAcentral.
GAGUUUGAUCUUGGCUCAGGAUGAACGCUGGCGGCGUGCCUAACACAUGCAAGUCGAGCGAGAAGCUGAUGAUUGACACUUCGGUUGAGAGAAUCAGUGGAAAGCGGCGGACGGGUGAGUAACGCGUAGGCAACCUGCCCUUUGCAGAGGGAUAGCCUCGGGAAACCGGGAUUAAAACCUCAUGAUGCUGUAUGUCCGCAUGGGCAGACGGUCAAAGAUUUAUCGGCAGAGGAUGGGGCCUGCGUCUGAUUAGUUAGUUGGUGGGGUAACGGCCUACCAAGGCAACGAUCAGUAGCCGACCUGAGAGGGUGAUCGGCCACAUUGGAACUGAGACACGGUCCAAACUCCUACGGGAGGCAGCAGUGGGGAAUAUUGCACAAUGGGCGAAACCCUGAUGCAGCAACGCCGCGUGAGCGAUGAAGGCCUUCGGGUCGU